AUGCAGGGGCUAAUAAUAGUACUCAUCAACCAAAAAUACCGGCGUCGUCAACCAUGCUUUGAACUUUUGGAGAUCAAGCUGUACGGUUGUACCAUGAAGAUUUUUGGUAAAUACCUCAACUCUCAUGAGAUGAUUAGCUUAGAAAAUCGAGAUAUUUUCUCAUUAAUUUCAGCUCUUCUGAUGAGGCACAUAGUUUUGUGCUUGGGGUGCUCAGAAAGAAUAGGAUGUUUUCUUUUUUAUACAUCUCGUGGCUUAUACUUGUGUCAGAACAGAAAGGAAAAAAGAAUACUUGGUCUUUACAUGGAAACGACGCUCCUAUGGUUUUGUGAUCUCAAAUUUUGCAGAAUUUCUUCUAAUGUUUUAUUUACUCUUUUACUGGCUUCCCCGUCUUUAUUUGUGACGCUUAGUUGCUCACCCUGGCAUGCUCUGUUACCCAAGAUGCAGUUUAAGGAUUCAAGUGGCGAUUGCAACCCAAAACAUUGCAAAGAAUCUGCUACCAGAGGCUUCAUUAUGCACACCUUUUCUUUUUACAAAAUGGAGUCUGAUCUGCUGUCAUCACAUCACCAGGUAUGCCUACAGCACCAAUGUUUGUACAGUGACAUUUAUUCACACACAAAUGAAGAUAUUCUAAGGUUAGAACGAACAUCACCUUCAACACCUGGUGUGUAUCGUAGUUGGGUGACAGCAGAUUGCGCAGUGGGCCUCUCGGCGGUGUGA
This 717-nucleotide ribosomal RNA is filed under the name Triticum aestivum (bread wheat). Its description in RNAcentral is "partial small subunit ribosomal RNA". Lineage: Eukaryota; Viridiplantae; Streptophyta; Magnoliopsida; Poales; Poaceae. The record is from RNAcentral.